RNAcentral lists this ribosomal RNA (423 nucleotides) under uncultured bacterium. RNAcentral's name for it is "bacterial SSU rRNA". It matches the Rfam family "Bacterial small subunit ribosomal RNA", at positions 354 to 774 of the family's 1533-position model. The record is from RNAcentral.
GUGAGGAAUAUUGGGCAAUGCCCGAAAGGGUGACCCAGCAACGCCGCGUGGAGGAUGAAGGUCGUAAGAUUGUAAACUCCUGUUAGAGGGGAAGAAUAACUAAGUUUGGAGCUUAGUAUGACUGUACCCUCAGAGAAAGCCCCGGCUAACUACGUGCCAGCAGCCGCGGUAAUACGUAGGGGGCAAGCGUUGUCCGGAUUUACUGGGUGUAAAGGGCGCGCAGGCGGAAUGGAAAGUCAGUGGUGAAAUCCUACAGCUUAACUGUAGAACUGCCCUUGAUACUUUCAUUCUUGAGUUCGGGAGAGAGAGACGGAAUUCCAGGUGUAGUGGUGAAAUACGUAGAUAUCUGGAAGAACACCAGUUGCGAAGGCGGUCUCUUGAUCCGAUACUGACGCUGAGGCGCGAAAGCGUGGGGAGCAAACA